CCCUUAGAUGUCCUAGGCCGCACGCGUGCUACACUGAUGAAUUCAACGAGUUGAAAUCACCUUGACCGACAGGUUUGGGUAAUCUUUUGAAAGUUCAUCGUGCUGGGGAUAGAUCUUUGAAAUUGUAGGUCUUCAACGAGGAAUUUCUAGUAAGCGUGGGUCAUCAGCCCACGUUGACUACGUCCCUGCCCUUUGUACACACCGCCCGUCGCUCCUACCGAUUGAAUGAUCCGGUGAGAACUUCGGAUAGGGAUCGUCAUCAUGCUUGGAUGGGGGCAACCUCGUUCAGUUGGAUCGCUAGAAGUCGUUCAAACCUUAUCAUUUAGAGGAAGGAGAAGUCGUAACA
This 346-nucleotide ribosomal RNA is filed under the name uncultured eukaryote. RNAcentral's name for it is "partial 18S ribosomal RNA". It matches the Rfam family "Eukaryotic small subunit ribosomal RNA", at positions 1470 to 1796 of the family's 1831-position model. The record is from RNAcentral.